CAGCACCUCAAGUGGUCAGGAGGGAUUAUUGGGGCCUAAAGCAUCCGUAGCCUGCUAUGUUAGGUUUCGGUUAAAUCCAUAUGCUCAACAUAUGGGCUGCCCGGGAAUACUGCAUAGCUAGGGAGUGGGAGAGGUAGACGGUACUCCGUAGGAAGGGGUAAAAUCCUUUGAUCUAUGGAUGACCACCAGUGGCGAAGGCGGUCUACCAGAACACGUUCGACGGUGAGGGAUGAAAGCUGGGGGAGCAAACCGGAUUAGAUACCCGGGUAGUCCCAGCUGUAAACUAUGCAAACUCAGUGAUGCAUUGGCUUGUGGCCAGUGCAGUGCCGCAGGGAAGCCGUUAAGUUUGCCGCCUGGGAAGUACGUACGCAAAGUAUG
This 378-nucleotide ribosomal RNA is filed under the name uncultured organism. RNAcentral's name for it is "partial 16S ribosomal RNA". It matches the Rfam family "Archaeal small subunit ribosomal RNA", at positions 477 to 851 of the family's 1478-position model. The record is from RNAcentral.